This 253-nucleotide ribosomal RNA is filed under the name uncultured bacterium. RNAcentral's name for it is "partial 16S ribosomal RNA". It matches the Rfam family "Bacterial small subunit ribosomal RNA", at positions 524 to 776 of the family's 1533-position model. The record is from RNAcentral.
UACGGAGGGUGCGAGCGUUAAUCGGAAUUACUGGGCGUAAAGCGUGCGUAGGCGGCGCGUUAAGUCAGGCGUGAAAGCCCCGGGCUCAACCUGGGAAUUGCGCUUGAUACUGGCGCGCUAGAGUUUGGUAGAGGGAAGCGGAAUUUCAGGUGUAGCGGUGAAAUGCGUAGAGAUCUGAAGGAACACCCGUGGCGAAGGCGGCUUCCUGGACCAAAACUGACGCUGAGGCACGAAAGCGUGGGUAGCAAACAGG